Picea glauca (white spruce) is the source of this 121-nucleotide non-coding RNA. Lineage: Eukaryota; Viridiplantae; Streptophyta; Pinopsida; Pinales; Pinaceae. The record is from Rfam.
AUAUGCCUACAAUAUAGCGUUAAUGCACCAGAUUCCAUUAGAACUCCGCAGUUAAGUGCGCUCAGGCUAGAGUAGUAUUGUGAUGGAUGACCAAUUAGGAAGUCCUAGUAUUUUACAUGCC